This 251-nucleotide ribosomal RNA is filed under the name uncultured prokaryote. RNAcentral's name for it is "partial 16S ribosomal RNA". It matches the Rfam family "Bacterial small subunit ribosomal RNA", at positions 524 to 774 of the family's 1533-position model. The record is from RNAcentral.
UACGGAGGAUGCGAGCGUUAUCCGGAUUUAUUGGGUUUAAAGGGUGCGUGGGCGGCCGAGUAAGUCAGCGGUGAAAUUUUGCAGCUUAACUGUAACAGUGCCGUUGAUACUGCCAGGCUAGGAUUUGGUUGCUGUGGGUGGAAUGUGUGGUGUAGCGGUGAAAUGCUUAGAUAUCACACAGAAUAUCGAUUGCGAAGGCAGCUCACAAAGCCAAGAUUGACGCUGAGGCACGAAAGUGUGGGGAUCAAACA